CAGUCGAAAUGGGUCGUGCCUAUGCUUUUUAGAACCGUCGAUGACAUUAGGUGGUUGUCAGUCCAAACAUCCAUUGAAACGAGGAUAGAAGGUUAAAAAACUGGCACCAUUAAAUCAAAAAGAUUCUGGAAGCUGCCAAUCAUACAUCACAAACCAGUUUAACAAAAUGAACUAAAAGUGAACCUAAGAGAUAUUAGAAACAUAUUUAAGAGUUUCAAGCUAUUUAACCAACAAUAGUUUGGAAAAAUAUUUCAAUAGAAACAAUGGAACCGGUCCAACCCAAAUCACAUGAUAGAUUGGAGACGCUGAUGAAACCCAUAUUUCACAUUUACUUUAACUGGAAAUCAUGAUUUCUUUAGAUGAGGAAAACAAGCAUGGACAUAAGCUUUAGGGUGCUUUGCUUCAGCAUGUCCCCUGUAUUUCACCUUUGAAGUAGUGCAGAUAAAUGUCUGCAUGCACACCUUGUACAACAGUUCACAACCGCCAAGCAAACGAUGAUAAAUGCAAUGGAUCACUAGCAAAAAAAGAACGCAUAGAUGAUAUACAUUGUACAGUCAAGCAAUGCAAAAAAUGAAAACAUAAACACAGAUGAUUUCCAUUGUAUUGUCAAGCAAUGCAAACAUUUUUAGAACUAUUAUUGCCAUGACUAGAAUUGGAAAAGGAAAACCCAUUAGCAAUAACUUACUAAAUUCUGAUACUCAAGGUAGGCAUCAAAUUUAUAGUAUCUACCUUCUCAAUUGAGAUAAUUUUGGAUAAGUACAAUAGAGAUGUGUAAAUAUGAAUGCCAUAGACAUGAUGAAGUAAAAUACACUACAAUAAAUGUGUGCAAAUAAAAAUAUUCAGUUAGAAUCACAACCUUGUGCCAUCUUGAUCGGGUAAAUGUUGAUAGCAGUAUGGCAAGACAUGACCUAGAGUACAAGAUGAAAAUUAGAAAUUUCUUAAAUUAAUAUAACAAAUUACCUUUAUUUUUACCUUGAGCGUUCACAAUUCCAUUCGUAGGUGGUAGGUAGAUAAAAGAUGAAUAUGGUAAGUGCGAUGUGACGGCUUCAUUGGCAUUGUUACCCUACAUGAGAUGACACCCAAUUUAACAUUCCAACCCAUUUAUAUGAAUUAACCUAUUAUACUCACCAAUAAGAGUUGUGAAUAUGAGACUGGGGUUGGCAUAGAACAUUGUGGUAGUCGAGAUGCCUGGGAAUCAAUUACAGCCUCCUCUGUACCUUGCCCUAGGCCUCUUUCCUAUGGUUGACCCUAAUGUGGAUAGCAUGUUCAUCAACUCAAAUCAGAAUUUUGACUCAAAUGCCCAAUCAAUUAAAAGGGGAAUGGACAACAAUACCUUUAAUUUGUUUGAAGUGGACACCAAUUGGCCUUUCAUCUAUAGUUUUCUUGGUGCGCCCUUCCUGUUCGACGAUUUAGGAUCCAAUAUGCUCAUGCUCCCAGUAUUUUGCGAAUCGUUACAAGUAGAAGCUGAACGAAUAACACGCUGUGAAAUGGUAGUGCUUCCACUACUCGAUUUUGACAGCCACAUGUGUCCUGCUUGCAAUUUUAUACAUUACGUUAUAGCACGUGACCACUCUUUAUCAUCUGCAGUGAGGUCUGCCACCUCUGAGAAAGCCUAAUACAUCGUUAUAUCUUACCUAUCACAGAGCACUUUCUAACCCAUCAUAAUUGACUUUGACCCUUAUGUGUACUCUUUUGACAUCUCUCUUCCAUCUUCGUAGUAUAUACCUAUUAGACAUUGACGUGAUGUCAUUGCAGAUCAAGACCGUGAUCGUAUGCCUGCAAAUGAUUCCUCGAAACUUGAAUAAAUGGCAACUACAAUUAAUUCGCACAUACCCCUCCGAAAUCAGACGCAAAAUGUUCUUCUCUUCUGGUGCUCACGAACGUCGUAGUUUGUCCAAAAAUAUUCAUCCUUCUCAGAGAUGACAUGACAAAGACCUUACCAAUGAAUUCAUUUUGUACUUCCUUGAACUUUGAAAUGUUAUACACUAAUUGAAAUUGUUUCUCCAUUUCGAAAGUUAUUGCACAUGGUACCAUUUGGAAAAAUUACUUGAAAUCAACCUGAAACUCUUUCUCAACCUUAUUCUUCAGUACUCUUUCAUACUGCUCGAUGAACUACCUCAACAAGGUCUUUGAAUGCACAUAUCCAUCGAAAAAUGUGUUCAUACUUUCACUUCGUUGUGUUUUUGGACAUCCCUGCCCAGAAAAAUGAACCCAACGACAUCUGUUAUCGUACAGCCCCGACACCAUUCAUUAUCAUGCAAGUGAUACCUAUCAAGCAUCACCUUCUAACCUUGCAUUCUUCAAAAAAUUGUAAAUCGUAUACUAGGUCGUGUAUGAACAAAGUAGCCUAACUUUUCUGGUAACUUCUUCAAAAUGCACAAACACCAUCUAUGCUUUGUAUUCGGAAAUACAAUAUCAAUUGUAUUUUGCAUUACCCCUAUCUUGAUCAGUAAUUAUUCCUUUAGGAGCUUUACCAUGCAUACACUCGAGCCAUGUUCUGAACAACCACACAAAAGUCCCCGUGUCUUCGUUCGAUAAUAGUCCACAAGCAAGCGGAGUUGAUUGUUCAUGAUGAUUUACGCCAACAAAAGAGGCAAAGGGCAUGUCAUACUUAUUAGUGAGAUACGUAGUAUCAAAAGUGACAAUAUUACUAAACUUCUUGUAAGAUUGCCUACAUCUAUUAUCUGCCCAAAAGUACAUUCUUCAGUCGUGACUCAUUGUCUAAGUUCAUACUGAAGUAAAAUCCUGAGCACCGUACUUGCAUCUUUGAAAAGUACGCUUGUAUUGCGGUGGCAUCUCCUUCACCAAGUUGUAUUCAUCUCACUUGUUCAGUAUAGUUCCAACAAUUCUUCUCCAUAAAUGUCAUGUUCUCAUAUCUACAUGCUGCCACAACUGUGGAGUUAAAAUUCUUUUGCAAGGGAAUUCCAACAAUAUCAUUCAAUUUGAGAUUUCUUUUCGCACUGGCAUUCAACUUUCGAUUGCAUUAAUACAAUCUAGACUUAGACGGACUUGUUUUAUGAUUAUAGUCGAGGUACACUCGUAUUAAUUUUCCAUAUUUCAGGAUUAUCUAAAGAUGUAGAUAUUCUUGCUUUACAAUCCGUCUGACUUGUUAUUUGUGGCUUCAAAGAACAACCUACUUUCACGACUACAUGUGAACGUCACAUAUCUCAUAACCUUGUCGUCACCCUUUUUUGAAUUUCGUUUCCUCAAUGGAAAGCCUACGGCAUAAGCAUAUCUUUUAUAGAAGUCCAACAUUUUUCUUCACUAUUAAACAUCACACGCCUCAAGCUUAGUCACAACAUCUCCUCCUAAUUUUUCGUUGUCCAAUGUGUUCGAAUUUGCCGCUACGUUCUCGUUAUCACAUUCUACCAAGACAUCAUGAUUCUCAUCUUCCGUAAUCUCUUUUCUUGCAAAUAUUGUGAUUUUGUUAGAAGUUGUAAAUUACAUGUAACUAAAAUCACAACUCUACCACUAAUAGUAAUUAACAUGCUUGUAAUGAAAAAAAAAAUAAUGGCAGAUAAGGUUGUGAAAUUAGUAAUAGGAUAUAGCCAAUUUUAUGUCGAUUAAGG
This 3569-nucleotide long non-coding RNA is filed under the name Olea europaea subsp. europaea. The record is from RNAcentral. Lineage: Eukaryota; Viridiplantae; Streptophyta; Magnoliopsida; Lamiales; Oleaceae.